RNAcentral lists this transfer RNA (56 nucleotides) under Cricetulus griseus (Chinese hamster). It matches the Rfam family "tRNA", at positions 8 to 63 of the family's 71-position model. Rfam says of the family: Transfer RNA (tRNA) molecules are approximately 80 nucleotides in length. Their secondary structure includes four short double-helical elements and three loops (D, anti-codon, and T loops). Further hydrogen bonds mediate the characteristic L-shaped molecular structure. tRNAs have two regions of fundamental functional importance: the anti-codon, which is responsible for specific mRNA codon recognition, and the 3' end, to which the tRNAs corresponding amino acid is attached (by aminoacyl-tRNA synthetases). tRNAs cope with the degeneracy of the genetic code in two manners: having more than one tRNA (with a specific anti-codon) for a particular amino acid; and 'wobble' base-pairing, i.e. permitting non-standard base-pairing at the 3rd anti-codon position. The record is from Rfam by way of RNAcentral. Lineage: Eukaryota; Metazoa; Chordata; Mammalia; Rodentia; Cricetidae.
UAGCUCAGUCGGUAGAGCAUGGGACUCUUAAUCCCAGGGUCGUGGGUUCGCCCCAC